RNAcentral lists this long non-coding RNA (637 nucleotides) under Theobroma cacao (cacao). RNAcentral describes it as "long non-coding RNA (TCAC_LNC003984)". The record is from RNAcentral. Lineage: Eukaryota; Viridiplantae; Streptophyta; Magnoliopsida; Malvales; Malvaceae.
UUAUAUUCUUACCUCGAACGGAGAGGCGCGUAGGGUAUCUCCUGGGGUAAAGCUUAGGGUUCACUUCACACCAAACCACCACGUGAAGGGGAACUCAGCCAACGCCAAGGAACGGCUGUAUUUUUCUCAAACUAAAAAUAUAUUUUAAGUGUAUACGAAAUUUUAACAGCCUUGGCGGACUCGGUUGGAUGCCCUGCGCAAGGUAUCACCGAGUAUAAGUUUUGGCACGAGCCAAAGUUUUAAGAAAUUCAUAAGCCAAGUUGAUUACUCGAUUUAUAUGGAUUGAUUUUAUUUGGUUGAAAUGAACUGAAAGGUAAUGAAAUUGCAGUAUGAUGACUUAUUUUAAUUGUCUCCAUUUACUCGGCUUUAGAUACUUUAGAUGGUAUCUGUUUACUCACUGGGAUUAUAAAAUCUCACCCCUUCUUCCUAUACAUUUUUCAGGCUUAGGACAGUUUGUAGAUAGUCGAGUAGGACGAGAACUAAGCUCGGAACUGUAUUAUAGAAAGUAAGAGUUCACAGUCUUACAUCCUCUUGGUCAAUUGGAGCCCACGUGUCAUUACAGAUCAAAACUUAUAUUUUGGUUAUCUUUAUUUCUAUUCAUACAAUUUUUACUUUACUUUCAUGUGCGAAAAAUUAU